RNAcentral lists this ribosomal RNA (292 nucleotides) under uncultured bacterium. RNAcentral describes it as "partial 16S ribosomal RNA". It matches the Rfam family "Bacterial small subunit ribosomal RNA", at positions 505 to 796 of the family's 1533-position model. The record is from RNAcentral.
GUGUCAGCCGCCGCGGUAACACGGGGGGAGCAAGCGUUGUUCGGAAUCACUGGGCGUAAAGGGCGUGUAGGCGGUUGGGUAAGUGGGAUGUGAAAUGCCUCGGCUCACCCGAGGAUCUGCAUCCCAAACUGCCUGACUUGAGUAUGGGAGAGGAUGAGGGAAUUCCUGGUGUAGCGGUGAAAUGCGUAGAUAUCAGGAGGAACACCGGUGGCGAAGGCGCUCAUCUGGCCCAAUACUGACGCUGAGGCGCGAAAGCUAGGGGAGCAAACGGGAUUAGAAACCCCAGUAGUCC